UUCAAAAGAGGAGUGUCCCAUCUGAGGACCAACCAUACCUUAUUCCUCACAAGAGGUCGGAAACCACCAAAUUUCAAAUGGUUGUCCCUCACCCACAGAGGCGCGAGGUUGUUACAACCCAUUCAAAUCAAUGGUUAGAUGUCACACGAUUUGUUUAAGCAAAAAGAAACAAAGGAAAAAAUCAGAAAUCAAAAGAAAGAAAGCUCGCUAAGUCGAAAACUCG
Molecule: long non-coding RNA, 223 nt
Filed under: Lathyrus oleraceus (garden pea)
Lineage: Eukaryota; Viridiplantae; Streptophyta; Magnoliopsida; Fabales; Fabaceae
Description: Pisum sativum (pea) long non-coding RNA (PSAT_LNC033884)
Source: RNAcentral